CCUACGGGAGGCUGCAGUGGGGAAUAUUGCACAAUGGGCGCAAGCCUGAUGCAGCCAUGCCGCGUGUGUGAAGAAGGCCUUCGGGUUGUAAAGCACUUUCAGCGGGGAGGAAGGCGUUAAGGUUAAUAACCUUGUCGAUUGACGUUACCCGCAGAAGAAGCACCGGCUAACUCCGUGCCAGCAGCCGCGGUAAUACGGAGGGUGCAAGCGUUAAUCGGAAUUACUGGGCGUAAAGCGCACGCAGGCGGUCUGUCAAGUCGGAUGUGAAACCCCCGGGCUCAACCUGGGAACUGCAUUCGAAACUGGCAGGCUAGAGUCUUGUAGAGGGGGGUAGAAUUCCAGGUGUAGCGGUGAAAUGCGUAGAGAUCUGGAGGAAUACCGGUGGCGAAGGCGGCCCCCUGGACAAAGACUGACGCUCAGGUGCGAAAGCGUGGGGAGCAAACAGGAUUAGAUACCCUAGUAGUC
This 465-nucleotide ribosomal RNA is filed under the name uncultured Klebsiella sp. Its description in RNAcentral is "bacterial SSU rRNA". It matches the Rfam family "Bacterial small subunit ribosomal RNA", at positions 338 to 795 of the family's 1533-position model. The record is from RNAcentral. Lineage: Bacteria; Pseudomonadati; Pseudomonadota; Gammaproteobacteria; Enterobacterales; Enterobacteriaceae.